GAGAGUUUGAUCCUGGCUCAGAACGAACGCUGGCGGCAUGCCUAACACAUGCAAGUCGAACGGGAUCCAGACUUCGGUCUGGUGAGAGUGGCGGACGGGUGAGUAACGCGUGGGAACCUGCCCAAUGGUCUGGGAUAACCGCGGGAAACUGCGGCUAAUACCGGAUAAGCCCGAGAGGGGAAAGAUUUAUCGCCGAUGGAGGGGCCCGCGUCCGAUUAGGUAGUUGGUGGGGUAACGGCCUACCAAGCCUACGAUCGGUAGCUGGUCUGAGAGGAUGAUCAGCCACACUGGGACUGAGAUACGGCCCAGACUCCUACGGGAGGCAGCAGUGGGGAAUAUUGGACAAUGGGGGCAACCCUGAUCCAGCAAUGCCGCGUGAGUGAUGAAGGCCUUAGGGUUGUAAAGCUCUUUUGCCAGGGACGAUGAUGACGGUACCUGGAGAAUAAGCCCCGGCUAACUUCGUGCCAGCAGCCGCGGUAAUACGA
RNAcentral lists this ribosomal RNA (485 nucleotides) under uncultured bacterium. Its description in RNAcentral is "bacterial SSU rRNA". It matches the Rfam family "Bacterial small subunit ribosomal RNA", at positions 8 to 528 of the family's 1533-position model. The record is from RNAcentral.